RNAcentral lists this ribosomal RNA (253 nucleotides) under uncultured Allobaculum sp. Its description in RNAcentral is "partial 16S ribosomal RNA". It matches the Rfam family "Bacterial small subunit ribosomal RNA", at positions 524 to 776 of the family's 1533-position model. The record is from RNAcentral. Lineage: Bacteria; Bacillati; Bacillota; Erysipelotrichia; Erysipelotrichales; Erysipelotrichaceae.
UACGUAGGUGGCGAGCGUUAUCCGGAAUGAUUGGGCGUAAAGGGUGCGCAGGCGGUCCUGCAAGUCUGGAGUGAAACGUAUGAGCUCAACUCAUGCAUGGCUCUGGAAACUGGAGGACUGGAGAGCAGGAGAGGGCGGUGGAACUCCAUGUGUAGCGGUAAAAUGCGUAGAUAUAUGGAAGAACACCAGUGGCGAAGGCGGCCUGCUGGACAAUAACUGACGCUGAGGCGCGAAAGCGUGGGGAGCAAACAGG